CCACCUCCCCUCACCCCAUCUGAGGAGCUGGCUCUGUCCCUUAAUAAAGUGGUUGCUGGCAUUCCAGGGGGCAGUUCCUCGCACACACCAUGCACCACAAGUGAUGGUGAAAAAAUGGUGAAAUAUACUGAUGGACGGAUUGUAUUAUUGGACCCUCCAGAAAGAACACAGUCUGUCACAGUUGAUGAAGAUGACGAUGAAGAGACCACAUCUGCU
This is a long non-coding RNA of Tachysurus fulvidraco (yellow catfish), 216 nucleotides long. RefSeq lists it as uncharacterized. The record is from RefSeq and is a predicted model, not a curated record. The transcript is spliced from 3 exons. NCBI's taxonomy places the organism in Eukaryota, Metazoa, Chordata, Actinopteri, Siluriformes, Bagridae.